GGUCUCAUGGAUUAAAAGGGAAUCGGGUGUAAAUCCCGGACAGUCCCGCUGCUGUGAAGCUCCAACCAACCAUUCGAAGUCUAUAAACCACUGAUCACUUGUAAGGAUUGGGAAGGUGUCGAAUGGGGAGUCAGUCAGAAGACCUGCCAUCAAUUUAU
This 158-nucleotide non-coding RNA is filed under the name uncultured Alistipes sp. The record is from RNAcentral. Lineage: Bacteria; Pseudomonadati; Bacteroidota; Bacteroidia; Bacteroidales; Rikenellaceae.